UACGAAGGGGGCUAGCGUUGCUCGGAAUCACUGGGCGUAAAGGGUGCGUAGGCGGGUCUUUUAAGUCAGGGGUGAAAUCCUGGAGCUCAACUCCAGAACUGCCUUUGAUACUGAAGAUCUUGAGUUCGGGAGAGGUGAGUGGAACUGCGAGUGUAGAGGUGAAAUUCGUAGAUAUUCGCAAGAACACCAGUGGCGAAGGCGGCUCACUGGCCCGAUACUGACGCUGAGGCACGAAAGCGUGGGGGAGCAAACAGGG
Molecule: ribosomal RNA, 256 nt
Filed under: uncultured bacterium
Lineage: Bacteria
Description: partial 16S ribosomal RNA
Rfam family: Bacterial small subunit ribosomal RNA
Source: RNAcentral